UACGUAGGGGGCGAGCGUUAUCCAGAUUUACUGGGCGUAAAGCGCGUGUAGGCGGCUGGUUAGGUGUGAUGUGAAAUCCUCGGGCUCAACCCGAGAACUGCAUUGCAAACCGGCCUGGCUAGAGUGCAGGAGAGGGAAGCGGAAUUCCAGGUGUAGCGGUGAAAUGCGUAGAUAUCUGGAGGAAGACCGGUGGCGAAGGCGGUCUGCUGGG
This 211-nucleotide ribosomal RNA is filed under the name uncultured bacterium. RNAcentral describes it as "partial 16S ribosomal RNA". It matches the Rfam family "Bacterial small subunit ribosomal RNA", at positions 524 to 733 of the family's 1533-position model. The record is from RNAcentral.